Molecule: long non-coding RNA, 650 nt
Filed under: Rhinopithecus bieti (black snub-nosed monkey)
Lineage: Eukaryota; Metazoa; Chordata; Mammalia; Primates; Cercopithecidae
Description: lncRNA (ENSRBIG00000045052.1)
Source: RNAcentral
GUCCCCCUUUGUCAGAGGGUGGUAAAUGUCACUCCACCACAUCACAGAAGACGUCUUAUCCACCAGAUAAAAGGAUUCCAUCUAACAGAACAGUGAUCCUUCAAUCCUUAGACCACUCCAGCCAGAGGCCCAGACAAUGCCUGAGGCAGAGAAAAAUCCCCAGAGACACGGUGCUGAUGUGUCCUGUUAUGGUGAAGGUUCAGCUCUUCCUAAUCAUGAACACUGCAGAAUGGUGAGAUUUUGCUUCAGAGCUGGGAGAGACAAAUACCAAGGACAUAUCGGGAGGAAUAUUGUCCACAGCAAAUACCAAGGACACAUCAGGAAGGAUGUUGCGGAGAGAGAGGACAGUGCUAGGACUGUCUUUUUCUAUAUCAGACACGUGGGAUCCUGCUGUGCCUUCCUGGAAACCGAGGCCAAGAAUGGAGCAGACCAAGAGGAUGCCAGGAAAAAUCACAAAGAAGCCCAGAAAGCACAGCUGGAAGCCAAGAACCUUAUUUUUGGUUUGUGUGGGUGGAAGAUGAGGGACAAUAUAUAGUGAACAAUAGGAUUCUUCAUUUGAAAGACAGUGGAGCACAUCAGACCUGUGUAUUUGGGUGAAGUAUGAUAAACUGAACAUCAAAGACUAUGGAAAGGAACAUGACCUAGUUUAU